UCGAGGAUCUUCGGCAAUGGGCGCAAGCCUGACCGAGCGACGCCGCGUGUGCGAUGAAGGCCUUCGGGUUGUAAAGCACUGUCGAGGGGGAGGAAAGCCGCAAGGCCUGACCUAUCCCUGGAGGAAGCACGGGCUAAGUUCGUGCCAGCAGCCGCGGUAAGACGAACCGUGCGAACGUUGUUCGGAAUCACUGGGCUUAAAGGGCGCGUAGGCGGCGCACCAAGUCCGGGGUGAAAGCCCCCAGCUCAACUGGGGAAGUGCCUCGGAUACUGGUGCGCUCGAGGGAGGUAGGGGCGGAUGGAACUUCCGGUGGAGCGGUGAAAUGCGUUGAUAUCGGAAGGAACGCCGGUGGCGAAAGCGAUCCGCUGGCCCUCUACUGACGCUGAGGCGCGAAAGCCAGGGGAGCAAACGGGAUUAGAUACCCCCGUAGUCC
RNAcentral lists this ribosomal RNA (433 nucleotides) under uncultured bacterium. RNAcentral's name for it is "bacterial SSU rRNA". It matches the Rfam family "Bacterial small subunit ribosomal RNA", at positions 355 to 796 of the family's 1533-position model. The record is from RNAcentral.